RNAcentral lists this ribosomal RNA (301 nucleotides) under uncultured bacterium. RNAcentral's name for it is "partial 16S ribosomal RNA". It matches the Rfam family "Bacterial small subunit ribosomal RNA", at positions 512 to 809 of the family's 1533-position model. The record is from RNAcentral.
CAGACCGCGGGAAUACGUAGGGUGCGAGCGUUAAUCGGAAUUACUGGGCGUAAAGCGUGCGCAGGCGGUUGUGUAAGACAGGUGUGAAAUCCCCGGGCUUAACCUGGGAACUGCGCUUGUGACUGCACAGCUAGAGUAUGGCAGAGGGGGGUGGAAUUCCACGUGUAGCAGUGAAAUGCGUAGAGAUGUGGAGGAACACCGAUGGCGAAGGCAGCCCCCUGGGCCAAUACUGACGCUCAUGCACGAAAGCGUGGGGAGCAAACAGGAUUAGAUACCCCCGUAGUCCCUGUCUCUUAUACAC